AUUGAACGCUGGCGGCAUGCCUUACACAUGCAAGUCGAACGGCAGCACGGGUGCUUGCACCUGGUGGCGAGUGGCGAACGGGUGAGUAAUACAUCGGAACAUGUCCUGUAGUGGGGGAUAGCCCGGCGAAAGCCGGAUUAAUACCGCAUACGAUCUACGGAUGAAAGCGGGGGACCUUCGGGCCUCGCGCUAUAGGGUUGGCCGAUGGCUGAUUAGCUAGUUGGGGGGGUAAAGGCCUACCAAGGCGACGAUCAGUAGCUGGUCUGAGAGGACGACCAGCCACACUGGGACUGAGACACGGCCCAGACUCCUACGGGAGGCAGCAGUGGGGAAUUUUGGACAAUGGGCGAAAGCCUGAUCCAGCAAUGCCGCGUGUGUGAAGAAGGCCUUCGGGUGGUAAAGCACUUUUGUCCGGAAAGAAAUCCUUGGCCCUAAUACGGUCGGGGGAUGACGGUACCGGAAGAAUAAGCACCGGCUAACUACGUG
Molecule: ribosomal RNA, 486 nt
Filed under: uncultured bacterium
Lineage: Bacteria
Description: partial 16S ribosomal RNA
Rfam family: Bacterial small subunit ribosomal RNA
Source: RNAcentral